RNAcentral lists this ribosomal RNA (465 nucleotides) under uncultured bacterium. Its description in RNAcentral is "bacterial SSU rRNA". It matches the Rfam family "Bacterial small subunit ribosomal RNA", at positions 330 to 793 of the family's 1533-position model. The record is from RNAcentral.
ACCAGACUCCUACGGGAGGCAGCAGUGGGGGAUAUUGCACAAUGGAGGAAACUCUGAUGCAGCGACGCCGCGUGAGGGAUGACGGCCCUACGGGUUGUAAACCUCUUUUGUCGGGGAGCAAAGAGAGUCACGUGUGGCUCAUUGAGAGUACCCGAAGAAAAAGCAUCGGCUAACUCCGUGCCAGCAGCCGCGGUAAUACGGAGGAUGCGAGCGUUAUCCGGAUUUAUUGGGUUUAAAGGGUGCGCAGGCGGAGGUGCAAGUCAGUGGUCAAAUUGCGGGGCUCAACCCCGUACUGCCGUUGAAACUGCAUCCCUUGAGUGCGCGAGAAGUAUGCGGAAUGCGUGGUGUAGCGGUGAAAUGCAUAGAUAUCACGCAGAACUCCGAUUGCGAAGGCAGCAUACCGGCGCGCAACUGACGCUCAUGCACGAAAGCGUGGGUAUCGAACAGGAUUAGAUACCCGCGUAA